RNAcentral lists this small RNA (127 nucleotides) under Marmota monax (woodchuck). The record is from RNAcentral. Lineage: Eukaryota; Metazoa; Chordata; Mammalia; Rodentia; Sciuridae.
GCUGGGCAUGGGGGGCCAUGCCUGUAAUCCCAGCAGCUCGAGAGGCUGAGGCAGGAGGAUCAUGAGUUCAAAGCCAGCUUGAGCAAAAAUCAAAGCACUUAAGCAACUCAGUGAGACCUUGUCUCUA